This 423-nucleotide small RNA is filed under the name Pongo abelii (Sumatran orangutan). Its description in RNAcentral is "retained intron". Lineage: Eukaryota; Metazoa; Chordata; Mammalia; Primates; Hominidae. The record is from RNAcentral.
UUGAGUAGACUGAGGAGGAGAAAGGGAGGGGGGUCUUGCUGUUUCAGGGAUGGCAGAGAAAAUCAUAUAUAAAUCGACUCAUGCAGUUCAAACACAUGUUGGAGGUUAAGCUACACAUAUCGUCUGGUUUGGAAAUGUUUGUUUUUUCAUUGCUUUAGGUCCUACAUCUCUUUUGAUAUCUUGAGAAGAGUGUUGAAGGAUUACUUCAAAUUUGAUGUCUUUUAUUGCAUGAACAUUACGGAUAUUGAUGACAAGAUCAUCAAGAGGGCCCGGCAGAACCACCUGUUCGAGCAGUAUCGGGAGAAGAGGCCUGAAGCAGCACAGCUCUUGGAGGAUGUUCAGGCCGCCCUGAAGCCAUUUUCAGUAAAAUUAAAUGAGACCACGGAUCCGGAUAAAAAGCAGAUGCUCGAACGGAUUCAGCAC